GGGGUUGUAGCUCAGUGGAAGAGCACUUGCCUAGCAUGUGUGAGGCACUGGGUUCGAUUCUCAGCAUCACAU
Molecule: transfer RNA, 72 nt
Filed under: Ictidomys tridecemlineatus (thirteen-lined ground squirrel)
Lineage: Eukaryota; Metazoa; Chordata; Mammalia; Rodentia; Sciuridae
Also listed under: 1 other name
Description: Spermophilus tridecemlineatus (thirteen-lined ground squirrel) tRNA
Rfam family: tRNA
About the family: Transfer RNA (tRNA) molecules are approximately 80 nucleotides in length. Their secondary structure includes four short double-helical elements and three loops (D, anti-codon, and T loops). Further hydrogen bonds mediate the characteristic L-shaped molecular structure. tRNAs have two regions of fundamental functional importance: the anti-codon, which is responsible for specific mRNA codon recognition, and the 3' end, to which the tRNAs corresponding amino acid is attached (by aminoacyl-tRNA synthetases). tRNAs cope with the degeneracy of the genetic code in two manners: having more than one tRNA (with a specific anti-codon) for a particular amino acid; and 'wobble' base-pairing, i.e. permitting non-standard base-pairing at the 3rd anti-codon position.
Source: Rfam by way of RNAcentral